This 471-nucleotide ribosomal RNA is filed under the name uncultured bacterium. Its description in RNAcentral is "partial 16S ribosomal RNA". It matches the Rfam family "Bacterial small subunit ribosomal RNA", at positions 28 to 507 of the family's 1533-position model. The record is from RNAcentral.
GACGAACGCUGGCGGCGUGCUUAACACAUGCAAGUCGAACGAUGAAGCCUAGCUUGCUAGGUGGAUUAGUGGCGAACGGGUGAGUAAUACGUGAGUAACCUACCUUUAACUCUGGGAUAAGCCCGGGAAACUGGGUCUAAUACCGGAUACGACCAAUCUCCGCAUGGGGUGUUGGUGGAAAGCGUUAUGUAGUGGUUAUAGAUGGGCUCACGGCCUAUCAGCUUGUUGGUGAGGUAACGGCUCACCAAGGCGACGACGGGUAGCCGGCCGGAGAGGGUGACCGGCCACACUGGGACUGAGACACGGCCCAGACUCCUACGGGAGGCAGCAGUGGGGAAUAUUGCACAAUGGGCGCAAGCCUGAUGCAGCGACGCCGCGUGAGGGAUGACGGCCUUCGGGUUGUAAACCUCUGUUAGCAGGGAAGAAGAGAGAUUGACGGUACCUGCAGAGAAAGCGCCGGCUAACUACGUG